RNAcentral lists this ribosomal RNA (438 nucleotides) under Triticum aestivum (bread wheat). Its description in RNAcentral is "partial small subunit ribosomal RNA". The record is from RNAcentral. Lineage: Eukaryota; Viridiplantae; Streptophyta; Magnoliopsida; Poales; Poaceae.
AUGAGCAUCAAGAAGGGCCGUCGGUCCUGGCCCAAGGAAUGGCACAUGGAAUGCAAGCUCGAUUCCACCCGUAUAAUGGUUGAUGCGGCUGGUACCGUCGCUACCUUCCCAACCUUGUCGUCUCUUUGCGUUGGCCUGCCCACACUCAGCCUGCAGAAUGAUGCCAUUGUUUACUUCCUCGCCAAGAUUCACUUCAGCCCAAGCCAACACACAGCUUGCGUGCUUGCUGUUGACAUGAAGAAGGAGACUGCUGAGCAAGUGGUGGAGUUCCCUGCUGAGAGGACUUAUUGUGUAGCCCAGGGCUACGACGCAAGUAGGAUCUCGGCAUAUCUCCAACCCGCGCCAGGUACGAAGCAAAUACAUAAACGACCAGGGGUGCCGUUGCUGAAAUCACCUAGCAAGAAGCAUACUGGAGAUGUUGACGCCAUGGUGGAGUGA